This 71-nucleotide transfer RNA is filed under the name Petaurista caniceps (gray-headed giant flying squirrel). RNAcentral's name for it is "Petaurista elegans caniceps tRNA-Leu". It matches the Rfam family "tRNA". Rfam says of the family: Transfer RNA (tRNA) molecules are approximately 80 nucleotides in length. Their secondary structure includes four short double-helical elements and three loops (D, anti-codon, and T loops). Further hydrogen bonds mediate the characteristic L-shaped molecular structure. tRNAs have two regions of fundamental functional importance: the anti-codon, which is responsible for specific mRNA codon recognition, and the 3' end, to which the tRNAs corresponding amino acid is attached (by aminoacyl-tRNA synthetases). tRNAs cope with the degeneracy of the genetic code in two manners: having more than one tRNA (with a specific anti-codon) for a particular amino acid; and 'wobble' base-pairing, i.e. permitting non-standard base-pairing at the 3rd anti-codon position. The record is from RNAcentral. Lineage: Eukaryota; Metazoa; Chordata; Mammalia; Rodentia; Sciuridae.
ACUUUUAUAGGGAUAGAAGUAUUCCAUUGGUCUUAGGAGCCAAAAACUUGGUGCAACUCCAAAUAAAAGUA